Long non-coding RNA from Prosopis cineraria, 1333 nucleotides. RefSeq lists it as uncharacterized. The record is from RefSeq and is a predicted model, not a curated record. The transcript is spliced from 2 exons. Lineage: Eukaryota; Viridiplantae; Streptophyta; Magnoliopsida; Fabales; Fabaceae.
AAUAAUUUUUACAACCCCUGCUAUCUGUUGAUUGAUUCGGUUUUUUCCAACUUUUUUCCUUUUCAGUAUCCAAGAGUUUAAUUAAUGUGCUUCUUUCGGGUCUUUGCAACCCCCCAAAAUAUAUAUAUGCAUAUACAUUAUACAUGUCAUGUAUCUGAUUUCGAAUUCAGCUGGUUUGAUUGUCAAAACUUGAUGAUCCUCUUCUUUUAUUGACAUCCUGGGAUUGCUUUCUGUUUUUUUUUUUUCUGGCUUGCCUAUUCAUGGAGCAAUUAUACUAACGUGUAAUCUAGUUAACAGUACAAACUAGGUUUUGUUUAGGCCUGUAGAGUGUAGAUGUAGAGUGUGGAACAAAAAGGUGCAAUUGACUGCUUAAUAUGUUGCCUUUAAGGUCUGUCUGCUACCCCUUCCCCGCCAAAAAGAAUCCCAAAAAAAUCUCAAUCUCUCUCUUUUUUUCUGGCCUGAAUCUCUCCCUUCUUAAUUAUUCAUUGGGCAUGAUAUAUGUGGAAAACAAGAGGGCAAAGAUGGUAGUAAGAGUUUAAGUUUUCAUUCACUCUGACUUUAAACGGAUUAUUGUGCUUGUUCUGUUAAUUGAAUUGUAUAAUAGCAUCAGUAAGCUUUUCCUGGUUUUUAUCCUUGAAAUCGCUAUGUACUUCCCGAAAAGAGAGAAAAAAAAAAAGAGCACUCGUGUGUUAUAGAUGACAGUGAUGUACAGGGAUUUGUACUCUCUAAGAACCAGGACAGCACCAUUAGUCUUGAUUUUCCUGAAUCAUCGUGCAUGCGGAUGGUUUAAGAAAGAAACAUGAGAGGUUUCAAGGUGGUGAAAGCCGAAAGAUAGGUUGAUAUAUUGCAAUUACAAAACUUGGUACUGCAUGUUGAUUGGUAAAGAAUAGUAAAUGGUUACGCUUCUUCCGGGUAUAGGACUGAAUGCUUUGGCUUGCAGAUGUUCUGAAACGGAGGCAGCUAUAGAUUUUUUGGUGUGGCAUCAUUGAUCAUAGCAUACACAAACCAUUUCUUGCAGACAGGAAUUUUUUAUUUGAGACUUGAGAUGAAAAAGGAGAGAGAACUAUUAUAAUAUAAUGUGGUUUAACAAGAAUACUGUUUUUUUAUUAGAAUUAUUCAUUAUCCAUACUCUUUAGUAGUGAAAAGUGAGCCCUGUGGGGUAGCCUUAAGAAUUUUGUUGCAUUAUUCCUUUAGCCCGAGGUUAUUUAAACGACAAAUUGUGUACUAGCUUGUAAUGGAGGACGCCAAUGGAAAUGGCCAAGCCUUCUAUGCUUUAUGAACAAGUCCUUCCUUUUCCUGUAUAUUUAUGACUACGUGGAGAACUGUUUUUGAA